This 88-nucleotide transfer RNA is filed under the name Nitrospirota bacterium. RNAcentral describes it as "Nitrospirae bacterium tRNA-Ser". It matches the Rfam family "tRNA". Rfam says of the family: Transfer RNA (tRNA) molecules are approximately 80 nucleotides in length. Their secondary structure includes four short double-helical elements and three loops (D, anti-codon, and T loops). Lineage: Bacteria; Pseudomonadati; Nitrospirota. The record is from RNAcentral.
GGAGAGGUGCGAGAGUGGCCGAAUCGGACGGUCUCGAAAACCGUUGUCCCGCAAGGGACCGUGGGUUCGAAUCCCACCCUCUCCGCCA